This 1193-nucleotide long non-coding RNA is filed under the name Lupinus mutabilis. RNAcentral's name for it is "partial ncRNA". Lineage: Eukaryota; Viridiplantae; Streptophyta; Magnoliopsida; Fabales; Fabaceae. The record is from RNAcentral.
CUUGGAGUUAUAUAAUUUCUCCCGCAAUUAGACAUUUUAAAGCAUUGCUCACUUCUCUUGAAGUUAUCAUUUCUCCCCAUUUGACAUUAUUAAAAAGCAAACUAUGGGGAUAGGCAAAAGUUGGGGUAAUGGGGAUAGUAAGUAUAUAGGGAUUAAAGUAAUAAGUUGUUUUCUGUUUAUAAUAAUCUGAUUUUUCAUAUUAUAAUCGAUUAAGGAUAAGCUAUAAUCGAUUACUGAGCAAAUAAUUGAAUUCUUGAAAAGUUUAGCCCAGGUAAUCAAUUAAAUAAAUCUGAGCACUUGAUGAUAAUCGAUUAUGAGACUUACAGAAGCUAGGGUUCUUCAAUAAUCGAUUAUCAUUUGGCUUAAUCGAUUAUAAUGCAGAAAACAACAAAAACAGCAAGUUCAAUCAGCAGUUUUCUUAGGUAAUAAACACUUAAUUCAGGCAUGUGUCUCAACACUAAUCAACAUAAUAGCAACAUACACAGCCAGGCAGAACAACAAUCACAGGAUUAUCGCAUUCAAAGCAUCAAAUAAGCAAAUCAAAGUGGUGCAUCAAAAUCAACUUAGGCAAAUCAUACACGUUUAAUAGCAACACAAAUAGUCAUUCAAGAACAACAAUUAAACGCAUCAAAAUAGUGCACCAAAUAGUCUACUACAGUCAUCCAAGAGUUAAAGUUCAAAUUCAAUGAAAUUAAAACAAACAACUAAAUCCUAGACAUGACUCUAGAGAGGACUCCUAGGACUCAGGUGGAGGGGUACGACUCGAGUUUCUUAUGUUUCCUAGGUAAGUCUCCAAGUGAGUGAAGCCUUGCUCGUCUCUUUCUUCGAGACGUCCCAUCCUCUGAUUCUGAUCAUCCAUGAAUGUCUUAAGCUGGCUUGACUGAUCCAUCAUGAAAUGUUGAAGUUGGCUUGAUUGUAUAUCCAACAUCCCUUGCAUCCGAUUCACCAAAUCUUCCAUAAAAGGGAGGGACAGUUUGAUAUGCUUCUUGGUUUUCUGCAGCCGCUUCUUCUUCUUCUUCAGGAUGCUCUUGCUGCUGACCCAAUAUAGUGUCCUCAUGCCAUUGCCAAACACCAUCUUGUCUUGUAAUCCUCAUCUUGUUCAAAGUUACUUGGUCGAUCUUGUCAGCUUGGUCACGCACAGAAAGCUUGACCUCAUUAGAUACAUCGACACUAGCAAGUUCGAUCAUUUUGGA